UUAAGUGUUUCUUAAAUAGCACAAAUUUGUGUCAGUGGAUUUAUAUUUUAAUACAGUAAAUAUUUUUAAAGGCCAUAUUCUCAAAAUGAGUGUUUUUUUCUCUCUUUCUCUGAGCCAUACAGUAAAUCUCUGCUUGAGCAGCACUUACAAACCUCACAUUUGUAUUCUGAAGGGUUUUAGACGCAAAUGUGCAUACAUAAUUUACCUGAUUAUAUUAUAUUAUAACAUUUUACUCUACAAAACCAUGAAAAUUCCUUCUUUUUCUGGCUAGGUUACGGUUAUUAUUGGAGUGAUAAAAAAAGAGUGUCAAAAUCCUUUCUUUUAAUAGAAAAAAUUAAACAAUUGAACCUGACUUAAUCCAAUGUUAGUUUGUUUUUUCUGAUAUUAAUAUUUAAGGAUUAUCUGAAAGCUGAAUAAAUAAGCUUUUCAUUGAUGUAUGGUUUGUUAUGGUAAAAUAUUUGGCAGAGAUACAACUAUUUAAACGUCUGGAGUC
Danio rerio (zebrafish) is the source of this 493-nucleotide non-coding RNA. The record is from Ensembl. NCBI's taxonomy places the organism in Eukaryota, Metazoa, Chordata, Actinopteri, Cypriniformes, Danionidae.